RNAcentral lists this ribosomal RNA (387 nucleotides) under uncultured bacterium. RNAcentral's name for it is "bacterial SSU rRNA". It matches the Rfam family "Bacterial small subunit ribosomal RNA", at positions 30 to 417 of the family's 1533-position model. The record is from RNAcentral.
CGAACGCUGGCGGCGUGCUUAACACAUGCAAGUCGAGCGGUAAGGCCCUUUCGGGGUACGACGAGCGGCGAACGGGUGAGUAACACGUGGGUGACCUGCCUUUAGCUCUGGGAUAAGCCUGGGAAACUGGGUCUAAUACCGGAUACGACUCCGCGGUGCAUGCUGUGGGGUGGAAAGCCUUGUGCGGCUGGAGAUGGGCCCGCGGCCUAUCAGCUUGUUGGUGGGGUGAUGGCCUACCAAGGCGACGACGGUAGCCGGCCUGAGAGGGCGACCGGCCACACUGGGACGUGAGACACGGCCCAGACUCCUACGGGAGGCAGCAGUGGGGAAGUCUUGCGCAAUGGGCGAAAGCCUGACGCAGCGACGCCGCGUGAGGGAUGACGGCCU